RNAcentral lists this long non-coding RNA (606 nucleotides) under Rattus norvegicus (Norway rat). Its description in RNAcentral is "long non-coding RNA NONRATT013057". Lineage: Eukaryota; Metazoa; Chordata; Mammalia; Rodentia; Muridae. The record is from RNAcentral.
CAGUGGAGGGUCCACCUCCUAAAGAUACUGGCAUUGCUCGUGUGCCACUUGCUAGUGCUGCAGGUGGCCCUGGUGUUGGAAGAGCAGCUGGCAGAGGAGUACCAGCAGGUGUACCUAUUCCCCAAGCUCCUGCUGGAUUAGCAGGCCCUGUCCGAGGAGUGGGAGGCCCAUCCCAGCAGGUCAUGACCCCACAGGGAAGAGGCACUGUUGCAGCUGCUGCUGUUGCUGCUACUGCUAGCAUUGCAGGAGCCCCAACCCAGUACCCGCCAGGACGGGGAACUCCACCUCCACCUGUAGGCAGAGCAACCCCACCUCCAGGCAUUAUGGCUCCUCCACCUGGUAUGAGACCACCCAUGGGCCCACCAAUUGGACUUCCCCCUGCUCAAGGGAGACCUAUAGGCAUGCCCCCUCCAGGAAUGAGACUCCCUCCUCCAGGAAUUAGAGGCCCACCUCCCCCAGGAAUGCGUCCACCAAGACCCUAAGAUACAGUUGAUAAAUCUCAGCCCUUCUCUUUCCCUACAAUGCUGCUUGUGAAAUUGUGUAGCCUGCAAGCUUUUGACCCCUCUUACUGCAUUAACUAUAGAUAAUAAAUACAUAGCGCAAUUG